AUUGAACGCUGGCGGCAGGCCUAACACAUGCAAGUCGAACGGUAACAGGAAGAAGCUUGCUUCUUUGCUGACGAGUGGCGGACGGGUGAGUAAUGUCUGGGAAACUGCCUGAUGGAGGGGGAUAACUACUGGAAACGGUAGCUAAUACCGCAUAACGUCGCAAGACCAAAGAGGGGGACCUUCGGGCCUCUUGCCAUCGGAUGUGCCCAGAUGGGAUUAGCUAGUAGGUGGGGUAACGGCUCACCUAGGCGACGAUCCCUAUCUGGUCUGAGAGGAGGACCAGCCACCCUGGAACUGAGACACGGUCCAGACUCCUACGGGAGGCAGCAGUGGGGAAUAUUGCACAAUGGGCGCAAGCCUGAUGCAGCCAUGCCGCGUGUAUGAAGAAGGCCUUCGGGUUGUAAAGUACUUUCAGCGGGGAGGAAGGGAGUAAAGUUAAUACCUUUGCUCAUUGACGUUACCCGCAGAAGAAGCACCGGCUAACUCCGUG
This 490-nucleotide ribosomal RNA is filed under the name uncultured bacterium. RNAcentral's name for it is "partial 16S ribosomal RNA". It matches the Rfam family "Bacterial small subunit ribosomal RNA", at positions 30 to 507 of the family's 1533-position model. The record is from RNAcentral.